This 418-nucleotide ribosomal RNA is filed under the name uncultured bacterium. Its description in RNAcentral is "bacterial SSU rRNA". It matches the Rfam family "Bacterial small subunit ribosomal RNA", at positions 358 to 773 of the family's 1533-position model. The record is from RNAcentral.
GGAAUAUUGGACAAUGGGCGCAAGCCUGAUCCAGCCAUCCCGCGUGCAGGAUGAAGGCCCUAUGGGUUGUAAACUGCUUUUACAGGGGAAGAAGCGCCCGGCUUUAGGCGGGUUUGACGGUACCCUGGGAAUAAGCACCGGCUAACUCCGUGCCAGCAGCCGCGGUAAUCCGGAGGGUGCAAGCGUUAUCCGGAAUCACUGGGUUUAAAGGGUGCGUAGGCGGCGCGAUAAGUCAGGGGUGAAGGCCCGCAGCUCAACUGUGGAAUUGCCUUUGAUACUGUUGUGCUUGAAUGGGGUUGAGGUCGGCGGAAUGUGACAUGUAGCGGUGAAAUGCAUAGAUAUGUCAUAGAACACCAAUUGCGAAGGCAGCCGGCUAGACCUGCAUUGACGCUGAGGCACGAAAGCGUGGGGAGCGAAC